UGACCUCAGCUCAGUC
RNAcentral lists this ribosomal RNA (16 nucleotides) under Heterakis gallinarum. RNAcentral describes it as "28S ribosomal RNA". The record is from RNAcentral. Lineage: Eukaryota; Metazoa; Nematoda; Chromadorea; Rhabditida; Heterakidae.